Molecule: non-coding RNA, 1263 nt
Organism: Salvia hispanica
Lineage: Eukaryota; Viridiplantae; Streptophyta; Magnoliopsida; Lamiales; Lamiaceae
Source: RefSeq, a predicted model, not a curated record
GGUGGCUCGGUCGAUGGUGAUUGCGGCUGAUGCUCUUCCUCCGCCGCCGGUUCUACUUCCAUUCCUUGCUUGUCGGGCUUUCUUCAUCUCCUCCCACCAUCCCGGGAAACCAUGGAUGUGGAAGCAUGUUUUUUUUGUGUGCUUCUUGCCUCCACAAUGGCUGCAAACUAACUUGUAUUUGUCUUCCUCCCUCCGGUUGGUGAAGUUCCUCGGUAGUUGGUGGCUCUGGGUGAUGGCCGGUCGAUUUCUGUCGAUUACUGCAAGUCCGACUCCGAUUCCGGUCACUUUGGGUUCUGGAUUCAUGAGUUUGUUGUUUAUGGAUUCCCUCCUAACCAAACCGUAAGCUUUGUGAGCUGUUGGUAUUGGUUCCAUGUUUAAGAUCUCUCUUUUGACCUUAUCGUAUCAAUCGUCAAGUGCCCAGAUGAACUGGUAGAGCCGGUGCUUAUGUGUAUUCCGGUUGUAUUUCUCGAUGCUUGAGGGAGUAUCCAUUGGGUUCGAAACAUGGAAUUGAUCGGCACCGCUUCCGUAUGUAGUGGCCAGACCGUCCCAUAGGUCUCGGGCCGUUUCGUACUGGGAAACCUCAUUCACGAGGCUGGCAUCGAUGUUUCCGAUGAUCCAGUUGAAGCAACAAUGGUCUCGUUGUUCCCAUCGUGCGUGACUUGGGUCAGUCGGUAGGGGCGGGUCUAAAACUCCAGAAAUGUGAGAUGUCAAGCCCUUCCCAUCGAUUUCCCUCCUCAUCAGUUUUGCCCACAACGGGUAGUUUUCUCCGUUGAGUUUUUCACUAACAUGGACUUCUCCAAAUGAUUCUGUUUGAGGAGGAGGCUGGUGUGUUGCCUUCUGAGACAUACUCAUUCUCAUAAGCUCUUGGAAUUGUUCGGCUGUGAGGGUUAUAGGUUGGUUGGUGAUUGAGAGAUUUUCUGUUUCAGAAUCUGACAUUCUGUUUGUUUGGUUGUUUUGGCAGGAAAAAGGUCGGGAAAGGUAUUCGAGAUUAUGUGAUAUUUUUCUGAGUCUCAAGCCCGAGUAAACCCGCUCUGAUGCCAUCUUAAAGAUGGUAAUCGAGAGGGGCGAGAUAUGUAGGACAUUUUAUAUUUGAUAGAGAGAAUUUAGGAGUGGAGAAUGUUUUGUAUUUCCUUGAAUUAUUUUAUAGAUGCAAAUCUCCCCAAUAUUUAUAGGGGGAUUUGAGACUCUUCAGUGCACUCAUUUAAUGUGCUUGGAACAAUGCAUAGCAUGGGAACACCACAAGAAUAACUAAAGUUCUAGGAA